GCUUAACGCGAAGAACCUUACCACCUUUUGACAUGCCUGGACCGCCACAGAGAUGUGGCUUUCCCUUCGGGGACUGGGACACAGGUGCUGCAUGGCUGUCGUCAGCUCGUGUCGUGAGAUGUUGGGUUAAGUCCCGCAACGAGCGCAACCCUCGCCAUUAGUUGCCAUCAUUCAGUUGGGAACUCUAAUGGGACUGCCGGUGCUAAGCCGGAGGAAGGUGGGGAUGACGUCAAGUCCUCAUGGCCCUUACAGGGUGGGCUACACACGUGCUACAAUGGCGACUACAGAGGGUUAAUCCUUAAAAGUCGUCUCAGUUCGGAUUGUCCUCUGCAACUCGAGGGCAUGAAGUUGGAAUCGCUAGUAAUCGCGGAUCAGCAUGCCGCGGUGAAUACGUUCCCCGGGUCUUGUACACA
This 413-nucleotide ribosomal RNA is filed under the name uncultured bacterium. RNAcentral describes it as "bacterial SSU rRNA". It matches the Rfam family "Bacterial small subunit ribosomal RNA", at positions 954 to 1389 of the family's 1533-position model. The record is from RNAcentral.